UACGUAGGGGGCAAGCGUUGUCCGGAUUUAUUGGGCGUAAAGAGCGUGUAGGCGGCCGUGUAGGUCCGUUGUGAAAACUCGAGGCUCAACCUCGAGACGUCGAUGGAAACCACACGGCUAGAGUCCGGAAGAGGAGAGUGGAAUUCCUGGUGUAGCGGUGAAAUGCGCAGAUAUCAGGAAGAACACCUAUGGCGAAGGCAGCUCUCUGGGACGGUACUGACGCUGAGACGCGAAAGCGUGGGGAGCGAACAGG
This 253-nucleotide ribosomal RNA is filed under the name uncultured bacterium. RNAcentral describes it as "partial 16S ribosomal RNA". It matches the Rfam family "Bacterial small subunit ribosomal RNA", at positions 524 to 776 of the family's 1533-position model. The record is from RNAcentral.